Molecule: long non-coding RNA, 200 nt
Filed under: Danio rerio (zebrafish)
Lineage: Eukaryota; Metazoa; Chordata; Actinopteri; Cypriniformes; Danionidae
Description: si:dkey-265a7.8 (ENSDARG00000097438.2)
Source: RNAcentral
AGGAAAUGGCCCCGAAAUUGGGAAAAAAACUAGAUAAUUUGUAACAUUUACAGCGCCCCCUUGCGCAGGAGCAACUCGACAACUUUAACGUGUCCCUCGCGAGAGGCCAGAUGAAGCGGCGUCAGACCCUUCUCAUCCCCCUCAUUCAGCAACCUGGUGUCCGUCACCAUCUCCAGGAGCCUGUGGCACGUGUUGAUUCU